UGCAGUUUGCAGCCUUCAGCUCAAAGCUAACAUUUAGCUACAAAUAGCCCUUUAAUGCUAGCUAAAGUUUUGUCUCAGCUAGUGCUAAGACAGGCUUGUGAUUUAUUUUCAAAUAACGAAUUGGCAAAAAGUAAGGUAAUACUAUCUUUACUAAAUACAUAUAUACAAAUAAACUCUGAGAUUAACUCUCUAUCCGUUAAUAAUUAAUAUUAAUUUGUACGUCGAUAGAUUGGAUGUGUUUGAUACAUGUACACUGACAUGACUACUGGGAGGUGUUUAAUGUAAGACAGCUGUACAGCUAUACCACAUUUCCUGGAUGCACUGAUGAUACAAAACAAGCGCUCCUUGACAGCCGGACGGAGGAACGGCACAGAGACGCUGAUAAGUGGCAGCGUGGAUUCAAGGAAAAGGAUUUUUGAUGGCUACAAGAAGAAGGAAACCGCCACUACAGGAUGCAGUUGAAUAUGCCAUCAGGGGUGUGGACAAGAUGGCAGAACUGGAAGUUCAAUAUAUUAACUCAUUUAAAGGUCGAGGGGUGUUUGCCAAAGCCCAUUUCAGCAAAGGAGACUUUGUGGUAGAGUACAGGGGCCAGCUAAUAAAUCAUGAAGAAUCAGUCAGGAGGAGGAAGAUCUAUCACAGAGCAUGCACUGUUUUCAUGUUUGACUUCACAUUAAAAGAAAAGACAUGGUGUAUCGAUGCAACCCGAGAAGAUGGCAGCUUUGGACACUCGUCAAUGAUGACCACAAGCAUCCAAAUUGCAAAAUGAAGAGGAUCAUAACAGAGGCCAAACCACACCUCUGUCUGUUUGCGUUGAGGGACAUUCAGCCAGGAGAAGAAAUAACAUACAACUACGGUGGAAAUGAUUGGCCAUGGAGGAAACAGACAGAGGAACAGUCAUGUGCUGCUGAUCCCUGUGACACUGAAGACCCUAGAACAGCAGAGAAGAUGGCUGAGAGUCCUUCAUCCUCUGUCAUGCAGACAGAGGAACAGUCAUGUGCUGCUGAUCCCUGUGACACUGAAGACCCCAGAACAGCAGAGAAGAUGGCUGAGAGUCCUUCAUCCUCUUCAUGCAGGACUCGGAUGAACCAGAAAUUGUUCUAUCAACAAACAGAGUUGGAAUAAUGUCUCACCUUGUAGACUACUCAGAUUCUGAUGAAGCUCAGGGUCCAUGCACCAGCCCUUCCCAGCUAAAUGAAAGCUGCCAGAUGCAGAGUCCUAUGUCUGAAUAUGAUCCUACCCUCUCCGACCAGGACAGACAGUGUAUUCCAAGGUUGAGGAGGACCAAGAGCCUCCUCUUGGAGAUGAAAGGACAGAUUGAUUUUGAUUCAGAUAAGCUUUUUGAUCCCACCUCAGAUGACAGUGGAGAAGAGUACACUCCUAAGAGUGGUCAAGAUUCCUCCAUGUGACCCUGAGGCAGCCUAUGAGUCAGACUCACUUGAGAAUCCGGUCACAACAGAGAGCGAGACAACAGGGCCAGAUGUGAGCUCACCACAGCAGGACACUGUGACACCCUCACAGACACAUCUUAAAUCACAAAUCACUAAAAAGGGCGACAGCAUUCCAAAAGGAUGUGGGAGAAAGAGGAGGUUGCUGCUGUGGAAAGGCACAUGAUGUCUUUCAUCACAUCAUGUCACGUUCCUGGAAAGGCCACAUGUGAUAAGUGCCUUAACAUGGAAAAAACAGCCCUUAAGAACAGGAAUUGGCUAGCCAUUAAGUUUUAUGUUAAAAAUCGCAUAACAGCUCUGAAGAAGAAAAUUUAGUUUAAAGUCGUAGUUGCUAAAAGUGUGUUUCUGU
This is an RNA transcript of Larimichthys crocea (large yellow croaker), 1794 nucleotides long. RefSeq lists it as uncharacterized. The record is from RefSeq and is a predicted model, not a curated record. The transcript is spliced from 11 exons. NCBI's taxonomy places the organism in Eukaryota, Metazoa, Chordata, Actinopteri, Sciaenidae.